UUUAUCAUAAUUCUACAAACAGCUUUUGGAUCAUAUAUAAUCUAUAUGCUAGAUUCUUCCGUGUUACUGGUUUUGGUGAAGUCAUAUCUUUUGAACAAGACGUAAUCUACACUUUGUCUAAAUACUUGUCUCAAUCGAUUCUUAUAAUACUCCUUCUCUCCCUUUCUCCCCCUCUAUGAAGAAAUUACCAAUUCAUCUGUCUAAACUAUCUAGAAUUAUGAUGUACUACUAGACACUGUUUCUCAGUCUUUUAUGAUGUUUUUGUGAGAAUUAUUGAUGAUGAAAUUAAUUUCUGCAUCUGCAUAUCUGCCAUUCAUAAAUACGUGCAACUUAUAUCAAAGUUGUGCUUUCAUAAUGUGCUGUUAAAGCCUGCUAAAUAGUUUUAAUAGGCUGGGAUUACUGUAACAUGACAUUCUGUGCUCUGAAUUUUUCAGCAAAGGAAAAUUGAUAGUUGACUUGGAAUUGGUCUCAAAUGAGUUAGUCUAGACAUGUAACCAUCUGGCCUAAACAACGUUACAUGCUUUCGCAACAUACGUUUAUUAGAAUACCACUGAAAGUCAAUAUUUACAGAUGGAUGCAGUUAGUGCAGAUCUUGUCAUAAAUCGUGCAGAUUUUAACUGGUGGUCAUUCCAUGAUAUUAAUUCGUCAGAUAUUCGUGGCUGUGGAGGUUUGCUGGACCUAUGGCAAUUAUAAUGUCUGAAGACACCGCAGGGUAUUCUUGGUGACACCGUCAGCAAUUAAGUUCAGCAUCUGGGGCCUCUAAAUAACUUUUGUGCUUGCUGUGGGCCGAUUUACUAGACUUCAAUGCUCAGACCUAAGAAUGAGAAUACCAUAUGAGAAUCUACCUUCUGUGGCAGGUUGAUAGCCAUCUGUGAGGACAUUAAUGAUGCGAGAGCAGAGGGUGAGCUUGGAGUUGAAGAGGUUCUUUACUGGACACUAAUAAAGAUUUACAGGUCGCCACACAUGCUUCUGGAGGACACCAAACCAGACGAGCACUGACACAAACCACCCUGCAGUUUCACUUCACAAGGAUAGAUGCUGACACAACGUUUGACCAGCACCAAGUUACUCGAGACCACGGCAUGGAUGGAUUAUGAUUUCUCUUUCCCUUCCAAGCUACAUAAUAUCAUUUCUGCAGAGGAUUCGCUGCUUCGAUUUUGAUGAAGACUUAUUUGAGAUUGGCCCUCAAACUGUAAUUUCACCGUAGGACCUUUAUAAUUAUGACUUCUUUCCCCGCAUGGCCAAUGUAGGGCAGUACAACUAGCAAAUGAAAAUUACGGGGUCAAAGUAGAUAUUUUCCUGUGAUGCACACAAGCUUACACCCACCCGAGAUUCCUGUACAGAACUUUUUUGGGGCUGUUAAAAGUGUCUGCAACUGUAUUCUUGAUGUAUUGAAUCAAUUCUUGCAAAAUUUAAAAAGA
Molecule: long non-coding RNA, 1421 nt
Organism: Populus trichocarpa (black cottonwood)
Lineage: Eukaryota; Viridiplantae; Streptophyta; Magnoliopsida; Malpighiales; Salicaceae
Exons: 3
Source: RefSeq, a predicted model, not a curated record